GUCUACAGCCAUGCCACACUGAGCAGGCCCGGUCCCGUCUGAUCUCGGAAGCUAAGCAGGGUUGGGCCUGGUUAGUACUUGGAUGGGAGACCACCUAGGAAGACCAGGUGCUGUAGGCA
RNAcentral lists this ribosomal RNA (119 nucleotides) under Pteropus alecto (black flying fox). The record is from RNAcentral. RNAcentral also lists the same sequence under 1 other name. Lineage: Eukaryota; Metazoa; Chordata; Mammalia; Chiroptera; Pteropodidae.